RNAcentral lists this ribosomal RNA (463 nucleotides) under uncultured bacterium. Its description in RNAcentral is "bacterial SSU rRNA". It matches the Rfam family "Bacterial small subunit ribosomal RNA", at positions 200 to 644 of the family's 1533-position model. The record is from RNAcentral.
GGAGAAGCAGGGGAUCGCAAGACCUUGCGCUUUUGGAGCGGCCGAUGCCUGAUUAGCUUGUUGGUGAGGUAAAAGCUCACCAAGGCUCCGAUCAGUAGCUGGUCUGAGAGGACGACCAGCCACACUGGGACUGAGACACGGCCCAGACUCCUACGGGAGGCAGCAGUGGGGAAUUUUGGACAAUGGGGGCAACCCUGAUCCAGCCAUGCCGCGUGAGUGAAGAAGGCCUUCGGGUUGUAAAGCUCUUUCAGCCGGAACGAAACGGUCACGGUUAAUACCCGUGACUACUGACGGUACCGGAAGAAGAAGCACCGGCUAACUACGUGCCAGCAGCCGCGGUAAUACGUAGGGUGCGAGCGUUAAUCGGAAUUACUGGGCGUAAAGCGUGCGCAGGUGGUUUUGUAAGUCAGAUGUGAAAUCCCCGGGCUUAACCUGGGAACUGCGUUUGAAACUACAAAGCUAG